This 74-nucleotide transfer RNA is filed under the name Candidatus Curtissbacteria bacterium. RNAcentral describes it as "tRNA-Arg". It matches the Rfam family "tRNA". From Rfam's summary of the family: Transfer RNA (tRNA) molecules are approximately 80 nucleotides in length. Their secondary structure includes four short double-helical elements and three loops (D, anti-codon, and T loops). Lineage: Bacteria; Candidatus Curtissiibacteriota. The record is from RNAcentral.
GUGCCCGUAGUUCAAUAGGACAGAACAGUCGCGUCCUAAGCGAUCGGUUGGGAGUUCGAGUCUCCCCGGGCACA